RNAcentral lists this non-coding RNA (97 nucleotides) under Licmophora paradoxa. Lineage: Eukaryota; Bacillariophyta; Fragilariophyceae; Licmophorales; Licmophoraceae. The record is from RNAcentral.
AAAUGUGAAUAUAAUAAUAGUAUGUAAAUAUAUUUGUUUCUUGUUUUUCCAUUCUUGAUUUUUGUUUCUUUGUUGCUUGUUUCCAAACACGUGCAUU